UACGUAGGGUGCAAGCGUUAAUCGGAAUUACUGGGCGUAAAGCGUGCGCAGGCGGUUGUGCAAGACAGAUGUGAAAUCCCCGGGCUUAACCUGGGAACUGCAUUUGUGACUGCACAGCUGGAGUGCGGCAGAGGGGGAUGGAAUUCCGCGUGUAGCAGUGAAAUGCGUAGAUAUGCGGAGGAACACCGAUGGCGAAGGCGAUCCCCUGGGCCUGCACUGACGCUCAUGCACGAAAGCGUGGGGAGCAAACAGG
This 253-nucleotide ribosomal RNA is filed under the name uncultured bacterium. RNAcentral describes it as "partial 16S ribosomal RNA". It matches the Rfam family "Bacterial small subunit ribosomal RNA", at positions 524 to 776 of the family's 1533-position model. The record is from RNAcentral.